GUUGGGCAUACUGGCACACCUGUAGGCCAGCUACUCCAGAAGCUGGGGCAGGAGGAUUGCUUGAGUCCAGGAGUUCUGGGUUGCAGUGCACUAUGCCAAUCAAAUGUCUGCACUAAGUUGAGCCAUCAAUAUGGUGACCUUCUAAAGUGGGGGACUACCAGGUUGCUUAAGGAGGGGCAAAAUGACUUAGGUUGAAAACAGGGCAGGUCCAAACUCCUGUGCUGCUUGGUAGUGGGAUCAUGCCUUUGAAUAGCCACUGCACUCCAGCCUGGGCAACAUGGUGACAGCCCAU
This 292-nucleotide signal recognition particle RNA is filed under the name Microcebus murinus (gray mouse lemur). Its description in RNAcentral is "Metazoan signal recognition particle RNA (ENSMICG00000046010.1)". It matches the Rfam family "Metazoan signal recognition particle RNA". Rfam says of the family: The signal recognition particle (SRP) is a universally conserved ribonucleoprotein. The record is from RNAcentral. Lineage: Eukaryota; Metazoa; Chordata; Mammalia; Primates; Cheirogaleidae.